Non-coding RNA from Pimephales promelas (fathead minnow), 262 nucleotides. NCBI's taxonomy places the organism in Eukaryota, Metazoa, Chordata, Actinopteri, Cypriniformes, Leuciscidae. The record is from RefSeq and is a predicted model, not a curated record.
ACAUCAGCUAGCAGAGCUGCUUUUUAUGGAGGAAGAGAUUACAUUUUCAAACGAGGAAGGCAUUGUUUCACUGCGCCUGGAAAUUGCAAAAAUGCUAUUAAGAGAAACUGAUGACCUUUCACAGCUCUGUCAUUCAUGUGGAGAUCAUCAUAGGCACAAAGACCAAACUGUGCAAUGGAUUGAAUGUACAGAAUGUGAAAGGUGGUACCAUUGGGACUGUGUGGGUAGACCUUCCACUGUUGGCAAAUAUAGCUGCCCUGCA